RNAcentral lists this ribosomal RNA (1266 nucleotides) under uncultured prokaryote. Its description in RNAcentral is "partial 16S ribosomal RNA". It matches the Rfam family "Bacterial small subunit ribosomal RNA", at positions 67 to 1308 of the family's 1533-position model. The record is from RNAcentral.
CGCUAGGAUCCCUUCGGGGUGACUUUGAUGCUGUCGAGCGGCGGACGGGUGAGUAACGCGUAGGAAUCUACCCAGUAGCGGGGGAUAGCCCGAGGAAACUCGGAUUAAUACCGCAUACGCCCCACGGGGGAAAGGCCGGGACCUCUUCGGAGACCGGUCACUAUUGGAGGAGCCUGCGUUGGAUUAGCUAGUUGGUAGGGUAAAGGCCUACCAAGGCGACGAUCCAUAGCUGGUCUGAGAGGACGAUCAGCCACACUGGAACUGAGACACGGUCCAGACUCCUACGGGAGGCAGCAGUUGGGAAUAUUGUGCAAUGGGGGAAACCCUGACACAGCCAUGCCGCGUGUGUGAAGAAGGCUCUAGGGUUGUAAAGCACUUUCAGUAGGGAGGAAAAAGCCGUAUUAAUACCACGGUUAUAUGACGUUACCUACAGAAGAAGAUCCGGCUAACUCCGUGCCAGCAGCCGCGGUAAUACGGAGGGAUCGAACGUUAAUCGGAAUUACUGGGCGUAAAGCGCGCGUAGGUGGUUCAUUAAGUGGGAUGUGAAAGCCCCGGGCUUAACCUGGGAAUUGCAUUCCAAACUGAUGAACUAGAGUACGAUAGAGGGGGGUAGAAUUCAGAGUGUAGCGGUGAAAUGCGUAGAUAUUCUGAGGAAUACCGGUGGCGAAGGCGGCCCCCUGGAUUGAUACUGACACUGAGGUGCGAAAGCGUGGGGAGCAAACAGGAUUAGAUACCCCGGUAGUCCUAGCCGUAAACGAUGGGCACUAAGUAGGGGGAGCUACCGAUGCUUUCUCUGCCGUAGCUAACGCAUUAAGUGCCCCGCCUGGGGAGUACGGCCGCAAGGCUAAAACUCAAAAGAAUUGACGGGGGCUCGCACAAGCGGUGGAGCAUGUGGCUUAAUUCGAUGCAACGCGAAGAACCUUACCGGGGCUUGACAUGGUAGAAGUAGGAACCCGAAAGGGUAACGAACGGUAUCCAGUCCGUAGCUAUUACAGGUGUUGCAUGGCUGUCGUCAGCUCGUGUCGUGAGACGUUGGGUUAAGUCCCCUAACGAGCGAAACCCUUGUUUUUAGUUACCAGCGGGUUAUGCCGGGUACUCUAGAAAGACUGCCGUCGUCAAGACGGAGGAAGGUGGGGAUGACGUCAAGUCAUCAUGGCCCUUAUGCCCCGGGCUGCACACGUGCUACAAUGGUCGGUACAAACGGAAGCGAAGCCGAGAGGUGAAGCGAAUCCUAAAAAGCCGAUCUCAGUUCGGAUUGGAGGCUGA